Molecule: ribosomal RNA, 254 nt
Filed under: uncultured bacterium
Lineage: Bacteria
Description: partial 16S ribosomal RNA
Rfam family: Bacterial small subunit ribosomal RNA
Source: RNAcentral
UACGGGGGGGGCAAGCGUUGUUCGGAUUUACUGGGCGUAAAGGGCGCGUAGGCGGCCAACGCAAGUCGACUGUGAAAUCUCCGGGCUUAACCCGGAAAGGUCAGCCGAUACUGCGGGGCUAGAGUGCAGAAGGGGCAACUGGAAUUCUCGGUGUAGCGGUGAAAUGCGUAGAUAUCGAGAGGAACACCUGCGGCGAAGGCGGGUUGCUGGGCUGACACUGACGCUGAUGCGCGAAAGCUAGGGGAGCGAACGGG